CCUACGGGUGGCUGCAGUGGGGGAUAUUGCACAAUGGGGGGAACCUGAACCAGCCAAGUCGCGUGAGGGAAGACGGUCCUAUGGAUUGUAAACCUCUUUAGGCGGGGAGCACUGCCGGGCACGUGUGCCCGGAGGGAGAGUACCCGCAGAAUAAGCAUCGGCUAACUCCGUGCCAGCAGCCGCGGUAAUACGGAGGAUGCGAGCGUUAUCCGGAUUUAUUGGGUUUAAAGGGUGCGUAGGCGGAUAUUUAAGUCAGCGGUAAAAUGUCCGGGCUCAACCCGGGCCGGCCGUUGAAACUGGGGAUCUUGAGUGGGCGAGAAGUAUGCGGAAUGCGUGGUGUAGCGGUGAAAUGCAUAGAUAUCACGCAGAACUCCGAUUGCGAAGGCAGCAUACCGGCGCCCGACUGACGCUGAGGCACGAAAGCGUGGGGAUCGAACAGGAUUAGAUACCCUAGUGUC
This 458-nucleotide ribosomal RNA is filed under the name uncultured bacterium. RNAcentral's name for it is "partial 16S ribosomal RNA". It matches the Rfam family "Bacterial small subunit ribosomal RNA", at positions 338 to 795 of the family's 1533-position model. The record is from RNAcentral.